This 2559-nucleotide long non-coding RNA is filed under the name Canis lupus familiaris (dog). RNAcentral describes it as "lncRNA (ENSCAFG00845014301.1)". Lineage: Eukaryota; Metazoa; Chordata; Mammalia; Carnivora; Canidae. The record is from RNAcentral.
CACACAGAGAGAGAGAGAGGCAGAGACACAGGCAGAGGGAGAAGCAGGCUCCAUGCACCGGGAGCCCGACAUGGGAUUUGAUCCCGGGUCUCCAGGAUCAUGCCCUGGGCCAAAGGCAGGCGCUAAACCGCUGCGCCACCCAGGGAUCCCAACCUUUAAACAUUUUCAAUCAGAUCAUGCCAUUCCUAGCUUAAAAUCUUAAGUGGUUUCCCAACGUACUGUAAAUAAAACCCAGACAACCUUUCACCACUGGCCUCCUUUCCUCCCCUCUUUCCUCUUAGGAGACGGUACGUGGAUUCUCUACUUUCCAAACCUUAAAAAUUCCUUAUCAUGUGCACCAUUCUAAGCACUUCUCAUAUCAUCCCACCUGGUCUCCUCAGACGCCAGGACAAUCUCCCCGUUCCAGGAACAGAAACCAAAGCAGACAGGCUGAGCAACUUGCCUGGUCAACAUCUUCCUUGAUCUUAAAGGAAAGCCCAAGCUCCUACACAGUUUUGAACAUUUGCCAGGAUGUAACUUCUGCCUGCUGUAUGUGCACCCAUCACCCUAGCUCUUCUUCUAACCUGCCACCAUCCUAACCUCUAAACCUCCCCACACACCAUACCUUCGACCUGGGACAGCACCCAGCCCUUUCCUCCCUACAGAAGGCAACUCAUCGGUCAGAAUGUUGCAUGCUGCUUGUUCAGGGGAGCCUCCCACUGGACUAGUUGCAGGCAAAGGGCAGGACGGGCCCCUCAUGUCCAGCGCUGCAUUCCAUGUAUAGGUGCUCAGUAAGCAUGAUAAAACUAGUGAGUCAGUGGGUGUUAAAGAGGUCACCUUUGCUGUAUCUCUCUCUCCCAGUGAAAUGCAGGCCCCACUAGAGCAGGGAGCUUUGUUUUAUUCACUCCUGCUUCCCUAGCACCUAAGAGUUCAUUAAAUAAUUGUAAGCACCAGUUGCUUUUAUGCCUGAUGCCCCUGCCCUGCAUGUGUCAGAACGCUACAUAGCACUCCCUACCAGGCUUCCUCCAGAGGGCUCUUCCUGCCAGAGCUGCACCAGCAGGGACGGGAAGUUACAGGUCUGCCCUCACUGUAGGACCUGUCUGCACAGCACUGUGGAAACAUCUCCUCACCUUGUUUUCUUCUAAGUAAAACUCUUUAUAAAAUAUGGAGUUCAGAGGCGCCUCAGUGGGUUAAGUGUGGGAUUCGGUUUGGGUUCAGAUCAUGACCUCACCGUGAUGAAAGUGAGCCCCGCCUCUGCCUCUGCCUGGAGCUGAGCUGGAGCUUAGGAUUCGGUCUCCCCUCUCCCUCUGCCUCUUCCUCCCUCCUGCUCACUUUGAAUUACAAAUAAGUAAUUUAAAAAAAUAAAUAAAUAAGGGCAGCCUGGGUAACUCAGAGGUUUAGCGCCGCCUUCAGCCCAGGGCCUGAUCCUGGAGUCCCGGGAUGGAGUCCCACGUCGGGCUCCCUGCAUGGAGCCUGCUUCUCGCCUGUGUCUUUGCCUCUCUUUCCUGUGUCUCUCAUGAAUAAAUAAAAUCUUAAAAAAUAAAAAUAAGAUAAAAAAUAAAAAUAUGGAAUUCGAGAUUUCCCUAAUGGUUUCAUUUGUGGGAUUCUCUCGUUUGGACUGGAGUCAAGCCGUGUGAAACCUCUGGAGAAAGCACCAGGGGAGGCCGAGGGGCAGGCAAGGCCCACGGGCAGGGCCAGCAGCUGCUAGGACUGCCUGUGUCCUUUCCCCUCUUGCAAACACGGUAAGACGCCGUCCUCACAGAGCUGGGGAGAGGGAGUGAUAGAAACGCUUGCAGGAUACCAAGACAGGCAGGGCUAGGUCAGGGGUUGUUGAGGCUACGGGCUCGCAUCCCCAGACAUGAAAAUGACGCGAAAAGGAGGCUCGGCCCCCGAAAGACAUAAUUAGCCCCAAGAACAGAACACGGCAUCCAACCUCGGCUCCUGACUCCCGGAGCUCACAGCCAAGACGGCCUUUAUCACAGGAGCGAGAGCGCAGUCCACUCCCAACAAAGCUUGGUCCUCCCUGCCGGCCCCGGGGGAAGGGGGGGCGGCAGGCCGCGAGGUCGGUGGGCAGAACUCUCCUGGCCCCGGCCCCCCGUACCCCCCUCGCACCCUCGGUGACGGUAUCCUCCGGCGGGGGCCAGGGCCACCGCCGGGGGAGAGGGAUAGUGUGUGUGGGGAGGGGGGAGUCGGGGUCCCUGGGGAUGGCGGACACCCCGGCUCGGCCCCGUACCCCCGCGACCAAAGCCCCCACGGCCCCAGCCUCGUCCUCCGCCACGGGGACCAAAAGGGCCGACCACACCUCGGUCAGGGGACCUGGGCACCGCGCGGUGACCUCUUGGUGUCCUGUGCACCGCCCGGCCCACGCCACGGCUCAGAUGAGGAAACUGAGGCUCAGAAGAGCGGUGGUUACCCCAAGGUCACCGGGGAGGCCCGGCGGGCAGGAGGGGAGGAGACGAGCCCGCAAGCCCCCUAGCCGCUCCCCAAGCUCUCGCCGCCCCCCGCCCCGCACGGGCGCCGGGGUUCGGGGCCUCCUGUCAGCACGCCACAGGCUCGCCGCCGCGUGGGCCGGGGAAGACG